RNAcentral lists this long non-coding RNA (594 nucleotides) under Arabidopsis lyrata. RNAcentral's name for it is "long non-coding RNA (ALYR_LNC001713)". The record is from RNAcentral. Lineage: Eukaryota; Viridiplantae; Streptophyta; Magnoliopsida; Brassicales; Brassicaceae.
AAAAACAUACAAUAGAUUGAAUUAUAAAAUCAAACCAGACUUGUAUAUUCAAUAUAUAGGUGAUACUAAUUCUGAAAAUAUAUCAUUACUAGUUACAUCAACCUUAUCAAACGGUGCGUACACCCUAAUUUCGUACAUAUAUCUCUCUCAGGCUCCUUCACAUCACAUAUGCUUCACUAUCAUCAUCGCAUUGAUUUUCAAUGGGUAGUCUUGGAUCUUCCGAAAACACAAAGAUGAAAGUCUUGGAUCCAUAUAAACAAACCAUAAAAAAAAGUUUUGAGGGUUUACAUAGGAAGUAAGCAAAAACACAUAUGACUUAUAAAGAAGAGAAAAAUACUUAGAAUGCGAUAAAGUAAAUUAUACAUAUAUGAAAAAUAGACAUCUCUAUGGAUUCAUUUUCUUGCGACAAAGACGUGAAAAUAAAAACCGUUUAAUCUUUAACCGAAUCUCUUAAACUAUAGAUAAAAUAUAAAAGGUACUUGAGCAAUAUACCUAAAGUUGUGUGAAGCUUUCUGAUUUCGGAAGAUAAGAGUCUAUGGAAAAUUAAGGAGAUGAUGAUAAUGAAGUAUAUGCCAUGUGAAAGAACUAUCUUCU